RNAcentral lists this ribosomal RNA (440 nucleotides) under uncultured bacterium. RNAcentral describes it as "bacterial SSU rRNA". It matches the Rfam family "Bacterial small subunit ribosomal RNA", at positions 338 to 795 of the family's 1533-position model. The record is from RNAcentral.
CCUACGGGUCGCACCAGUGGGGAAUAUUGGACAAUGGGCGAAAGCCUGAUCCAGCAAUGCCGCGUGUGUGAAGAAGGUCUUCGGAUUGUAAAGCACUUUCGACAGGGACGAUGAUGACGGUACCCGUAGAAGAAGCCCCGGCUAACUUCGUGCCAGCAGCCGCGGUAAUACGAAGGGGGCUAGCGUUGCUCGGAAUGACUGGGCGUAAAGGGCGCGUAGGCGGUUUAUGCAGUCAGAUGUGAAAUCCCCGGGCUUAACCUGGGAACUGCAUUUGAGACGCAUAGACUAGAGGUCGAGAGAGGGUUGUGGAAUUCCCAGUGUAGAGGUGAAAUUCGUAGAUAUUGGGAAGAACACCGGUGGCGAAGGCGGCUUACUGGUCUGCAACUGACGCUGAGGCGCGAAAGCGUGGGGAGCAAACAGGAUUAGAUACCCGCGUAGUC